GAUGAAGAACGCAGCGAAAUGCGAUAAGUAGUGUGAAUUGCAGAAUUCAGUGAAUCAUCGAAUCUUUGAACGCACAUUGCGCCCCAUGGUAUUCCGUGGGGCAUGCCUGUUCGAGCGUCAUUUACCCCCUCAAGCUCCGCUUGGUGUUGGGCGUCUGUCCCGCUUCGCGCGCGGACUCGCCCCAAAGGUAUUGGCAGCGGUCGUGCAAGCUUCUCGCGCAGCACAUUGCGCUUCUCGAGGCACCGGUGGGCCCGCGUCCAUCAAGCUCACCCCCCCAGUUUGACCUCGGAUCAGGUAGGGAUACCCGCUGAACUUAAGCAUAUCAAUAAGCGGAGGA
This 337-nucleotide unclassified non-coding RNA is filed under the name soil metagenome. Its description in RNAcentral is "partial contains 5.8S ribosomal RNA, internal transcribed spacer 2, and large subunit ribosomal RNA". The stretch from base 1 to 120 matches the Rfam family "5.8S ribosomal RNA", at positions 35 to 154 of the family's 154-position model. The record is from RNAcentral.